Molecule: transfer RNA, 72 nt
Filed under: Ipomoea nil (Japanese morning glory)
Lineage: Eukaryota; Viridiplantae; Streptophyta; Magnoliopsida; Solanales; Convolvulaceae
Rfam family: tRNA
About the family: Transfer RNA (tRNA) molecules are approximately 80 nucleotides in length. Their secondary structure includes four short double-helical elements and three loops (D, anti-codon, and T loops). Further hydrogen bonds mediate the characteristic L-shaped molecular structure. tRNAs have two regions of fundamental functional importance: the anti-codon, which is responsible for specific mRNA codon recognition, and the 3' end, to which the tRNAs corresponding amino acid is attached (by aminoacyl-tRNA synthetases). tRNAs cope with the degeneracy of the genetic code in two manners: having more than one tRNA (with a specific anti-codon) for a particular amino acid; and 'wobble' base-pairing, i.e. permitting non-standard base-pairing at the 3rd anti-codon position.
Source: Rfam by way of RNAcentral
GGUCCCAUGGUCUAGUGGUUAGGACAUUGGACUUUGAAUCCAGUAACAUGGGUUCAAAUCUUGUUCGCACUU